ACUAGCUCAGUUGGUAGAGCGUUAGGUUCGCAAUCUAAAGGUCAGGGGUUCGAUCCCCCU
Molecule: transfer RNA, 60 nt
Filed under: bovine gut metagenome
Rfam family: tRNA
About the family: Transfer RNA (tRNA) molecules are approximately 80 nucleotides in length.
Source: RNAcentral